Molecule: long non-coding RNA, 292 nt
Organism: Drosophila guanche
Lineage: Eukaryota; Metazoa; Arthropoda; Insecta; Diptera; Drosophilidae
Exons: 2
Source: RefSeq, a predicted model, not a curated record
UUAGACGAUGCAUUGGACUCACGACAUCGUGUGACUCUACGUGAAUGCAUCGAUGCAUCCGUCUAUAACCACCUUUAUAGGGACAGUGCUGGAGAGGAAAAACGGUGGGAGAAACGUCGAGAAAGACACAGUGGUCAAUCCCAGAGUCAGAGAAAGUUUCUUAAGGUCAAAGUCAGGAAAAGUUGCUACACCGAAAAUUUGUGUGACCGCGGAUUUUCUCUAAUAUAUACGGCACAACCCUCACCUUCCCAUUUUCAGAAUAUACCGCAAAUAUACCGUAAAUUGUAAAUGA